Molecule: long non-coding RNA, 1183 nt
Organism: Camelus dromedarius (Arabian camel)
Lineage: Eukaryota; Metazoa; Chordata; Mammalia; Artiodactyla; Camelidae
Exons: 2
Source: RefSeq, a predicted model, not a curated record
CUCCUUCCUGAUGCUGUCCUUUCCUCACCCCUUCCAGGCAGCAGGUCAGGCUGGGUGUGGUAGAGAAGAGAGCCACCCGGGAAGUCCAGCUACCAGAGGCUCGGGAGCAGAAGCAAUUGCCCCCUUCCCAGUCCUUACAGGUAGUGAAGUUGAAGCCCCUGUGAAGCAACGGCAGUCCUGCUUCUGAUUCUCCCAGCCUCCUAGAGAUACUGUCUUGGUAGUUACCUGGAUGCGAGUUGUUCUGUGACUGUGUAGAUGCACCUCAAAAGAGGGAAGUGGGGGAACCGGGAAUGAAGGCAUGCUUGGGUGCCCUGGCCAUGUCUGGCACUCAGUCUACAGGUUCAGACACGGGACUAGGCGUGAAACCCAGCCUCUUUGUGGCACUCUGGUCUUCCUCCUCUAGUUCCCUCGUCUCGGACAGACCGUCGCCCGGCCCCAGGCAGCGGUGUGGCGACUGAGCCCUCUCAGGGCAGCAGUACGCGGGCCCCGCCUACACGCUCCCCUUCAUGCACCCCCUCCACCCUCGGCCCGGCAGCCGCUGAAGUGGUCUCCGCGGACUCACAGACGACACUCACCUGCUCCGAGCGACAGCGGCAGCGGCGGCGGCAGCAGCAGCAGCAGCAGCAACAGCAGGAGCGCCAGCGGCGGCGGUCGCGGGCUUCGGGGGCGCACCAUGGCGGGGGGCGCACGCCGGGUGUUCGGGGGCGCUUCUCUGGCACCUCGCGCUGGAGCUCUGAGAGGGGCUCCUCAUCCGGCGCCUCCCACGGCUGCCUCCUGCCCCUCCUCAGGCGCGCGGCGCCGACACUCUCCCACCAGGGUCCUGGGCGCCGCCCUCCAACUCCGAAGCGGACGGACGCACCACGCCGCGUCUUCUACUGGACGGCGACAGCGGCAGGGGAGGGGGCGAGAGAGGGCGCGCGCUCAGGAGCAGCCUGGGCUUGGGCGCGAAAGCGUGCUCCACCCUGACCUGCCCACCUGCUGUCGCCUGCCAGCUUCGCUUUGAGGAGGCUUUCUAUUCAAGACACUGUGGAAGCUACUGCUGGAGAUUCGCCAUCUCCAGGGUCCAGCUAUUUACCUAAAAAAUCAUCUUGUCUCACUUUCCGGAACCCCCUCCUCACUGCCACUAAGGAAUCACCCCAAUGAAAUCUUGUAAUAAAUACAUAUGUUAAAGUUAUACGUACAA